CCCAUGCUGACAUUGAGAAAGCAGAAGCUUAUGAGAAGCAGUUAAAACCACUACCUGGUUUGAAAGCAAUAGACGUCGACAGUUUGGAGAAAACUUCUAGUGCCAAGCAAGCCGAGAAAGGUCCAAAUGCUGGUGCCACUGAAACAUACGAAGGGAAGAGUAAGGAUAAGGCGAAGAAAAAGAGGAAGAGAAAGCCAAAAUAUCCAAAGGGCUUUGACCCGGCUAAUCCAGGACCUCCACCUAAUCCAGAGAGGUGGCUUCCCAAGAGGGAGAGGUCUAGUUACAGACCAAAGAGAAAGGAUAAGAGAGCAGCUCAAAUUAGAGGUUCUCAAGGUGCAGUGGCUAAAGAGGCAGCGAGCAGUUGUGAUACGAAGUCAAACCAGCCAGCUAAUCUAAAAGGAGCCUCUCAGAAUGCAGUGCAAUCAAAGGCUUCAUCCAAAUCAAGGAAGUAAUCCAACAACAGAUAACUGAUGUUUCUUUGUUAUUGUUUCCCUGGAUUCAUUUAGCAUUUCUGUUGUACAACAUGAGUUAGUCUCGGAGAUGUCCAUUUAUAUAUUGUUAACUUUUUCAUACAUAAGGUUGUAGGGAAGGCAUCUAAAGUUAACCUACCUUGAUCACUUUUGGAAAGGCCUCAUUUACUGAGUUCUCUUAGGUCUAAAGUCUAAAUUAUUAGGAUUGUGUUAUCAAUCUUUUUUUAAA
This 699-nucleotide long non-coding RNA is filed under the name Solanum tuberosum (potato). Its description in RNAcentral is "long non-coding RNA (STUB_LNC001421)". Lineage: Eukaryota; Viridiplantae; Streptophyta; Magnoliopsida; Solanales; Solanaceae. The record is from RNAcentral.